Long non-coding RNA from Hyla sarda, 532 nucleotides. RefSeq lists it as uncharacterized. The record is from RefSeq and is a predicted model, not a curated record. NCBI's taxonomy places the organism in Eukaryota, Metazoa, Chordata, Amphibia, Anura, Hylidae. The transcript is spliced from 3 exons.
CCCCACUUUUCCACGCAAUUUUCUGGGCUUGCCUCAGGCGCAAAAGGAACCAACUACAGCUCUGAGAAGCGCUACUUACCCCUCUGGCUUCCCGCUCCUCCCUGGGCUCCUCCAGACUGACUGCGAACAGCACGCACUAUGACCUGACGCUGUACGCAGUCAGGUCACGUAACUGUGCAGCAUGGGCUGUUGGAGACCAGCAGGGAAGGCACUCAGGUCGGGACACCCUGGCGGACAUGGAGAACAGCAGAGCAGGAGAGAGCCCUGACGAAGCGCAUAACUUGUGAUACAGACCGUCGCCCACUGUCUGAACACCCCACAUGAACAUCUACCCACACCCUGCUAAGCCUGCACAGUUGUGAAUAAAGGACAAAGAAGCAGUCAAGCAAGUCCACAACUGUAUAGUCUGAACAACUUUCUCCUGGAAUCCUCACUCCAAGGUACCUUCAUUACCCCAAAGACAUGAUGUCCUAUAUUAGCAGUCAUAUCAUACAGUAUGUUUGCAAAUCAGAACAUUGCAUUUAUUCCCAUA